RNAcentral lists this ribosomal RNA (207 nucleotides) under uncultured bacterium. Its description in RNAcentral is "partial 16S ribosomal RNA". It matches the Rfam family "Bacterial small subunit ribosomal RNA", at positions 568 to 774 of the family's 1533-position model. The record is from RNAcentral. RNAcentral also lists the same sequence under 1 other name.
CACGUAGGCUGUAGUGUAAGUCAGGGGUGAAAUCCCACGGCUCAACCGUGGAACUGCCUUUGAUACUGCACAACUUGAAUCCGGGAGAGGGUGGCGGAAUUCCAGGUGUAGGAGUGAAAUCCGUAGAUAUCUGGAGGAACAUCAGUGGCGAAGGCGGCCACCUGGACCGGUAUUGACGCUGAGGUGCGAAAGCGUGGGGAGCAAACA